AAGAGGAGUGGCGAACGGGUGAGUAACACGUGGGUAACCUGCCCAUCAGAAGGGGAUAACACUUGGAAACAGGUGCUAAUACCGUAUAACAAUCGAAACCGCAUGGUUUUGAUUUGAAAGGCGCUUUCGGGUGUCGCUGAUGGAUGGACCCGCGGUGCAUUAGCUAGUUGGUGAGGUAACGGCUCACCAAGGCGACGAUGCAUAGCCGACCUGAGAGGGUGAUCGGCCACAUUGGGACUGAGACACGGCCCAAACUCCUACGGGAGGCAGCAGUAGGGAAUCUUCGGCAAUGGACGAAAGUCUGACCGAGCAACGCCGCGUGAGUGAAGAAGGUUUUCGGAUCGUAAAACUCUGUUGUUAGAGAAGAACAAGGAUGAGAGUAACUGUUCAUCCCUUGACGGUAUCUAACCAGAAAGCCACGGCUAACUACGUGCCAGCAGCCGCGGUAAUAC
This 452-nucleotide ribosomal RNA is filed under the name Enterococcus hirae. RNAcentral describes it as "partial 16S ribosomal RNA". It matches the Rfam family "Bacterial small subunit ribosomal RNA", at positions 88 to 526 of the family's 1533-position model. Lineage: Bacteria; Bacillati; Bacillota; Bacilli; Lactobacillales; Enterococcaceae. The record is from RNAcentral.